Long non-coding RNA from Ictalurus punctatus (channel catfish), 1949 nucleotides. The record is from Ensembl. Lineage: Eukaryota; Metazoa; Chordata; Actinopteri; Siluriformes; Ictaluridae.
CUGGUUUUCAAGAGUGGAAAAAGAACACAGAGCUUUCGGAUAUUCACUGACCUUUGUUAGAGUAAAGUUAUUAUUGAAGUUGCUCUGAUCAAGAGAGAAAAAUGAAUACGUUUCUGAAUGCACUUAAAGCUGGAGAGGAAACGACAACGGACCCCAAGGACACACCUGAAGUGUAUGUCUGGGCCACAGAACCGGCUCUGGUCCAACCCACAGAGGUUCCUCAGGACCAGGUCACGUUAAGUUUCUUUUGCUCCUAACGUUAACAAAAAUCCAGUUUUCCAUUAUAUGAACAUUUUAAAUACCUGGAUUGAAAUGUUUGCCACUUACGGAUGAGGAAAUGACGUUUGUACUCCAGCACUAACCUAAGGACAGCAAUCCAGACCUGAUGUUCAUUAAUUGUAAAAAUUGCUAAUUGUGUGUGUGUGCGUGUGUGUGUGUGUAAUAUUGUACAGUCACAUUUUGGGAAAAUAAUUUUUUGCCUCCAAACCAUAGAAGUGUCUGAAUGUGUGUAGAAGUAAAUAAGCCUUAAUUGUUGUAAUGUUAGCGUUCCAUGACAAAACUUGAGGAGAAACACCAGAAGGCUGAGGAUUCCAUUGCUCAGCUGGAGGUGGAGAAGGCGAACCUGACCAGCCAGGUGGAGAAACUGCGAAGAACAGUGGCGAACAUGGGGACCAUGCUCUCUGAGACUCACAGGGAGUGUGAUAAGUUAACAGACGAGUAUGAGCAUGAACAGGAGGCUCACAGCAUCCUCCAGAAGGAGAACGAUGAGAUGAAGGAGACUCUGAUGCACAAGGAGGAGUUGCUAAAGGUCUCAUUGCCUGAAGCUGAGGAGAAACACCAGAAGGCUGAGGAUUCCAUUGCUCAGCUGGAGGUGGAGAAGGCAAACCUGACCAACCAGGAGUAUGAGCGUGAACGGGAGGCUCACAGCAUCCUCCAGAAGGAGGACGAUGAGAUGACGGAGACUCUGAUGCACAAGGAGGAGUUACUAAAGAGCUCCAUGGUGAAAGCUGAGAAGAAACACCAGAAAGCUGUGGAGACUAUUGCUCAGCUGGAGGUGGAGAAGUCUGACCUAAAAGACCAGGUAGAGACACUGCGAAGAACAGUGCAGAAAAUAGGGAACAUGCUCACUGAGACUCACAGGGAGUGUGAAGCGCUAACAAAUAAGUAUGAGCAAAAGCAGGAGGCUAACAGCAUCCUCGAGGCGGUGAACGAUGAGAUGAUGAAGACUCUGAAGGAGCUUGAGAUGAAGAACAAUGAGAUGAAGCAGACUCUGAUGGAAAAAGAGGAAUUACUGAUGACUCCCUGGCAGAGACUGAGGAGCAACACCACGAGGCUGUGGAGUUGGUUUCCGAGGCGGAGGCAGAGAACUACGACCUGACUAAUCCAAUGAAGACCCUGGUACAGUGGGGGAAAUAAGUAUUGGAUGCGUCAACAUUUUCUUCAAGAAAUAUAUUUUCAAUGAGGCUAUUCACAUGAAAUUUUCACCAGACAUCAGUAUUAACUCAAGAAAUCUGGAAAUAUAAAGAAUUCUCAACAUUAAAGUCCAAACAUAAAGUGGAAUGACAAAUGUUCCUUAGUAGUAGUACUCUGUAAUGCCUCUGUUCCUUCUUACUGGUUAAAGCUGACUUAUAGCUUACUGGUUACGGCUUAAACUCUUACAUAAUCGACAUAUACUUGCAGUAAGUGUUCUGAUCACCCAAAUGAACUUUGUGUGACUCACUCCUUUUAUACUAUGCUUGUGUUUCAAGUGUUUUGUUGUCUUAAGUGACGUUUGUGUUACUAUCCUCUGCUUUUUAAUUAUAAGAUGGACAGACACUCCAGGUGAGUACAGUACACAUGCCUCACUAACAGAGACGAUUCAUUCUGUUUAUUCAUGUUUGAUGUAACGUUGGUGCAGUGUGGGAGCUUUAGUGAUUGCACCAACACUAACCUUGCUAAUAAAGUUCAUG